GACGAACGCUGGCGGCGUGCCUAAUACAUGCAAGUCGAACGCACAGUUUAUACCGUUGCUUGAUGCACCAUAGACUGUGAGUUGCGAACGGGUGAGUAACGCGUAGGUAACCUGCCUGGUAGCGGGGGAUAACUAUUGGAAACGAUAGCUAAUACCGCAUAAUAUUUAUUAUUGCAUGAUAAUUAAUUGAAAGUUGCAAUUGCACCACUACCAGAUGGACUUGCGUUGUAUUAGCUAGUAGGUGAGGUAACGGCUCACCUAGGCGACGAUACAUAGCCGACCUGGGAGGGUGAACGGCCACACUGGGACGGGGACACGGCCCAGACCCCUACGGGAGGGAGCAGUAGGGAAGCUUCGGGAAAGGACGAAAGGCUGACCGAGCAACGCCGCGGGAGUGAAGAAGGUUUUCGGAUCGUAAAGCUCUGGUGUAAGAGAAGAACGGGUGUGAGAGUGGAAAGUUCACACUGUGACGGUAUCUUACCAGAAAGGGACGGCUAACUACGUG
This 505-nucleotide ribosomal RNA is filed under the name uncultured bacterium. RNAcentral describes it as "partial 16S ribosomal RNA". It matches the Rfam family "Bacterial small subunit ribosomal RNA", at positions 28 to 507 of the family's 1533-position model. The record is from RNAcentral.